This 497-nucleotide ribosomal RNA is filed under the name uncultured bacterium. RNAcentral's name for it is "partial 16S ribosomal RNA". It matches the Rfam family "Bacterial small subunit ribosomal RNA", at positions 28 to 507 of the family's 1533-position model. The record is from RNAcentral.
GAUGAACGCUGGCGGCGUGCCUAAUACAUGCAGGUCGAGCGAACAGACGAGGAGCUUGCUCCUCUGACGUUAGCGGCGGACGGGUGAGUAACACGUGGAUAACCUACCUAUAAGACUGGGAUAACUUCGGGAAACCGGAGCUAAUACCGGAUAAUAUAUUGAACCGCAUGGUUCAAUAGUGAAAGACGGUUUUGCUGUCACUUAUAGAUGGAUCCGCGCCGCAUUAGCUAGUUGGUAAGGUAACGGCUUACCAAGGCGACGAUGCGUAGCCGACCUGAGAGGGUGAUCGGCCACACUGGAACUGAGACACGGUCCAGACUCCUACGGGAGGCAGCAGUAGGGAAUCUUCCGCAAUGGGCGAAAGCCUGACGGAGCAACGCCGCGUGAGUGAUGAAGGUCUUCGGAUCGUAAAACUCUGUUAUUAGGGAAGAACAAAUGUGUAAGUAACUAUGCACGUCUUGAUGGUACCUAAUCAGAAAGCCACGGCUAACUACGUG